GCGGUCGUGGCGGAAACGGUAGACGCGCCAGCUUGAGGUGCUGGUGGGGAAACCCCUCCGGGUUCGAGUCCCGGCGACCGCACCA
RNAcentral lists this transfer RNA (85 nucleotides) under Methylobacterium sp. WL116. RNAcentral's name for it is "tRNA-Leu". It matches the Rfam family "tRNA". From Rfam's summary of the family: Transfer RNA (tRNA) molecules are approximately 80 nucleotides in length. Their secondary structure includes four short double-helical elements and three loops (D, anti-codon, and T loops). The record is from RNAcentral. Lineage: Bacteria; Pseudomonadati; Pseudomonadota; Alphaproteobacteria; Hyphomicrobiales; Methylobacteriaceae.